This 468-nucleotide ribosomal RNA is filed under the name uncultured bacterium. RNAcentral's name for it is "partial 16S ribosomal RNA". It matches the Rfam family "Bacterial small subunit ribosomal RNA", at positions 28 to 507 of the family's 1533-position model. The record is from RNAcentral.
GACGAACGCUGGCGGCGCGCCUAACACAUGCAAGUCGAACGGAGCUGAGAGAAGCUUGCUUUUCUUAGCUUAGUGGCGAACGGGUGAGUAACGCGUGAGUAACCUGCCCUGGAGUGGGGGACAACAGUUGGAAACGACUGCUAAUACCGCAUAAGCCCACGAUCCGGCAUCGGAUUGAGGGAAAAGGAUUUAUUCGCUUCAGGAUGGACUCGCGUCCAAUUAGCUAGUUGGUGAGGUAACGGCCCACCAAGGCGACGAUUGGUAGCCGGACUGAGAGGUUGAACGGGCACAUUGGGACUGAGACACGGCCCAGACUCCUACGGGAGGCAGCAGUGGGGGAUAUUGCACAAUGGGGGAAACCCUGAUGCAGCGACGCCGCGUGGAGGAAGAAGGUUUUCGGAUUGUAAACUCCUGUCGUUAGGGACGAUAAUGACGGUACCUAACAAGAAAGCACCGGCUAACUACGUG